This 194-nucleotide long non-coding RNA is filed under the name Cavia porcellus (domestic guinea pig). Its description in RNAcentral is "lncRNA (ENSCPOG00000038188.1)". The record is from RNAcentral. Lineage: Eukaryota; Metazoa; Chordata; Mammalia; Rodentia; Caviidae.
GUCCCUGUCUUUUGAGGUUCUGUGGAACAUGGAAGGAGCCAGCCCCUGGGAGGAGUGGAUGACCAGCCCACAGCAUCGAGGGUUAUGCAACUCUCUUACUUUGACGGCGUUGUGUGGGGGUUUGCUACCAAGGCGGCUGGAGCUCCUCCAGUGGUCUUCAUCUGGAGCUCCUCCAGUGGUCUUCAUCUCUUUGC